RNAcentral lists this ribosomal RNA (433 nucleotides) under uncultured bacterium. RNAcentral describes it as "partial 16S ribosomal RNA". It matches the Rfam family "Bacterial small subunit ribosomal RNA", at positions 29 to 507 of the family's 1533-position model. The record is from RNAcentral.
AACGAACGCUGGCGGCAUGCCUAACACAUGCAAGUCGAACGAAAACUCCGGGUCUAGUGGCGCACGAGGGCGUAACGCGAGGGAACCUGCACUUAGGUUCGGCCUACCUCCCCGAAAGGGGUGCUAAUACCGGAUAAUGUCUACGGACGAAAGAUAUAUCGCCUUUGGUUGGGCCCUCGUUGGAUUCGCUAGUUGGUAGGGUAAUAGCCUACCACGGCGCCGAUCCCUAGCUGGUCUGAGAGGAGGAUUAGCCACACUGGGACUGAGACACGGCCCAGACUCCUACGGGAGGGGGCAGUGGGUGAUAGUGCACAGCGGGCGGAAGCCUGAACCACCACUGCCGCGUGAGCGAUGAAGUUCUUAGGGUUGUAAAGCGCUUUUACCCGUGAUGAUAAUGACAGUACCGGGAGAAUAAGCUCCGGCUAACUCCGUG